This 781-nucleotide unclassified non-coding RNA is filed under the name uncultured bacterium. RNAcentral describes it as "partial contains 16S ribosomal RNA, 16S-23S ribosomal RNA intergenic spacer, and 23S ribosomal RNA". The stretch from base 647 to 781 matches the Rfam family "Bacterial large subunit ribosomal RNA", at positions 1 to 135 of the family's 2925-position model. The record is from RNAcentral.
GCUGGAUCCCCUCCUUUCUAAGGAUACAAGCGAAAGCGCCGAGCCCAAGCGUUCGGAAGAGCUUCGCGAGUUCCAAAGAACAUUGCCGUCGUCCUCAUGUCCUUUCAUCAAUCAGAUACGCGAGCGCUUUCGGGCGUUUGCGUUUGCCUGAGCUGGCUCGCGCCGCAAUCGGCUUCCAACGAGCCGGUUCGUGUGGUGCAGGUCCGUAGCUCAGUUGGUUAGAGCGCACCCCUGAUAAGGGUGAGGUCGGUGGUUCAAAUCCACUCGGACCUACCAUCGCCAUUUGGUCGAUGGCUGUUCACCAAAUGAGGGGUCUUAGCUCAGCUGGGAGUGCACCUGCUUUGCAAGCAGGGGGUCAUCGGUUCGAUCCCGAUAGGCUCCACCAGGCAUUUAAUCUGAUGAUGAAACGAGAGAGAUCCGGUCUUCGGACUGGUCAGGCGGAUCUGCCGCCGAACUUUGACAUUGUGAAUGGGUUUUUAAAUCGAUGCCGUGGCGCAUGGAUUGUUUGGAUGGUCGCAAGGCCAUUCGCACGCGGUCUAUGCAUCACUUAUCAAUCAAAUUGAUUAUCUGGCUGAGAUAAUUCCUCCGCGCCAUCGCGAAGACGAAUGGGCUUUUAUGCAGGCCUGUCGUUGAUGGUGUGGAUUCUCAAGCGUGAGGUAAGAGCAUUUGGUGGAUGCCUUGGCAUGUACAGGCGAAGAAGGACGUGACACGCUGCGAUAAGCGUCGGGGAGCUGUGAGUAAGCUUUGAUCCGGCGAUUUCCGAAUGGGGAAACCCGGAAGC